CAGUCGCCGCGGUAAUACGAAGGGUGCAAGCGUUAAUCGGAAUUACUGGGCGUAAAGCGUGCGUAGGCGGUGAGUUAAGUCUGCUGUGAAAUCCCCGGGCUCAACCUGGGAAUGGCAGUGGAUACUGGCUCGCUAGAGUGUGUCAGAGGAUGGUGGAAUUCCCGGUGUAGCGGUGAAAUGUGUAGAGAUCGGGAGGAACAUCAGUGGCGAAGGCGGCCAUCUGGGACAACACUGACGCUGAGGCACGAAAGCGUGGGGAGCAAACAGGAUUAGAUACCCCAGUAGUCCCUGUCUCUUAUAC
Molecule: ribosomal RNA, 301 nt
Filed under: uncultured bacterium
Lineage: Bacteria
Description: partial 16S ribosomal RNA
Rfam family: Bacterial small subunit ribosomal RNA
Source: RNAcentral